This 467-nucleotide ribosomal RNA is filed under the name uncultured bacterium. RNAcentral describes it as "partial 16S ribosomal RNA". It matches the Rfam family "Bacterial small subunit ribosomal RNA", at positions 28 to 507 of the family's 1533-position model. The record is from RNAcentral.
GACGAACGCUGGCGGCGUGCUUAACACAUGCAAGUCGAACGGAAAGGCCCUGCUUUUGUGGGGUGCUCGAGUGGCGAACGGGUGAGUAACACGUGAGUAACCUGCCCUUGACUUUGGGAUAACUUCAGGAAACUGGGGUAAUAACGGGUAAGAGGUCCUGCCGCCUGGGGGGGGGUUGGAAGGUUCGGCGGUUGGGGAUGGACUCGCGGCUUAUCAGCUUGUUGGUGGGGUAGUGGCUUACCAAGGCUUUGACGGGUAGCCGGCCUGAGAGGGUGACCGGCCACAUUGGGACUGAGAUACGGCCCAGACUCCUACGGGAGGCAGCAGUGGGGAAUAUUGCACAAUGGGCGGAAGCCUGAUGCAGCAACGCCGCGUGCGGGAUGACGGCCUUCGGGUUGUAAACCGCUUUCGCCUGUGACGAAGCGUGAGUGACGGUAAUGGGUAAAGAAGCACCGGCUAACUACGUG